This is a long non-coding RNA of Megalobrama amblycephala (Wuchang bream), 1327 nucleotides long. RefSeq lists it as uncharacterized. Lineage: Eukaryota; Metazoa; Chordata; Actinopteri; Cypriniformes; Xenocyprididae. The record is from RefSeq and is a predicted model, not a curated record. The transcript has 2 exons.
UGGGAAAUGUCCCGCCCCUUACCAUAACCGCCAGUUUCAACACACUACUAACUAACUCAAGCAGGCCCCGCCCCUUUCUUCUGAAUAUACAGACACAAAUAGAUAAAGUGCAAUAAAAUAAACACUUGUGGAGCUCAGAGCGGUUUGGCCUGUAGUGUCUUGCCUUGAGCGUGUCUUUUGUCAUUGUAUCGUUGUGUCGGUUGUUGAAUUAUGAUCUCAGGAAGUUCUGAAUCAGUUCAGAGUGAAGAUCGAGAAUCAAACACACACAGAUCUGAUUCUCUCCAUCAUCAUUGAACAGUCUCUGUGUUUCUCAUCCACACCGUCCAUCAUUCACACUCGAUCACAGAAGGAUUUGAUUCGAUAAACUGCUUCCAAACCCUCCAGAGCUUCAGACUCCUGAGACUGGAAUCAUGGGAAAUACUGACCUGUGAUCAGUCUUGUGUAGCUGUUUAUUGAAGGUUUGCCUUGGUAAAAGGUCAUCAGAGGUCAAAGCAGAGGCAUUGAAUCGCCAUACGGACUCAUUCCCAGCUAACAGGAUGUUCUCUUAAUGUUAUGAACAAACAUUAGUAGAACGUUCAUUCAAAGUUAUCUGGUCUUUAAUAAUGUUCUCAAAACAUUUGCACAAAACAUCGUUCAUGGAAGGUUUUUACCUGAAACGUUUUAGUUGGAUGUUCAUCUAACGUUCAGAGAACAUUCUAAAGUAACGUUCCCUUCAUAUUCGCACACACAAAAAAAUCUAGGUUUUGAACGUUUUUCAUAAAUAAUGUUUUUAUAAAUUUAGCUAAAUGUUCUUAGAACAUACUUGUUGGCUGGGUUCAGACCUGAACGAUCUGUAUUUGAUGAUUUUGACGAGAAGGACAGAAUCAGAGUUUCCUAAAGCUGUGAAAAUGAGCUGAAGACGGAACGAAUCGGAAGCAGCGACUGAAUCCCGAAUCUCUGAAUCGUUCGAUACGGACUCGCUUAAGCAUCGUACAUUUACACGGACCUCAAAUCUACAGUGAUCAAUGUUUAUUUUUACAAUAAAGUCAAACAACUGAUGAUAUAAUCAUUCAUGAGACAGAUCAACGUUAUUUUUAUGAAACAGUGAUUCUGUGUAACGAAUGCGUUUGAAGGAGCAUUUCUGGAGAUAUUGAUCUGUUAUUGAUUGCUGAAAUAAAACAAGUGGUACUUGAACAUGUUCAACAGUCUAUUAAAACAUUUAGAGCUGCUCUUCAUCCGAUAAAAUGGCUCAUCCAGAACAGAAACUUCAUAAUCGCCACUUGAGACUGUAUGAAUGGAGUGAAAUAAAAUACUUUAAAACAUACAUAUUAAAACUGUAUAAAUAGUG